GACAGAGGGGGCAAGCGUUGCUCGGAAUUAUUGGGCGUAAAGAGCUCGUAGGCGGCUUGUCGCGUCGGCUGUGAAAACCUGGGGCUCAACCCCGGGCCUGCAGCCGAUACGGGCAAGCUAGAAUUCGGUAGGGGAGACUGGAAUUCCUGGUGUAGCGGUGAAAUGCGCAGAUAUCAGGAGGAACACUGGUGGCGAAGGCGGGUCUCUGGGCCGAUAUUGACGCUGAGGAGCGAAAGCGUGGGGAGCGAACAGG
Molecule: ribosomal RNA, 253 nt
Filed under: uncultured bacterium
Lineage: Bacteria
Description: partial 16S ribosomal RNA
Rfam family: Bacterial small subunit ribosomal RNA
Source: RNAcentral